GAUGAAGAACGUAGCGAAAUGCGAUAAAUAAUGUGAAUUGCAGAAUUCAGUGAAUCAUCGAAUCUUUGAACGCACAUUGCGCCCGCCAGUAUUCUGGCGGGCAUGCCUGUUCGAGCGUCAUUACAACCCUCAGGCCCCCGGGCCUGGCGUUGGGGAUCGGCGGAGCCCCCCGUGGGCACACGCCGUCCCCCAAAUGCAGUGGCGGUCCCGCCGCAGCUUCCAUCGCGUAGUAGCUAACACCUCGCGACUGGAGAGCGGCGCGGCCACGCCGUAAAACACCCAACUCUUCUGAAGUUGACCUCGAAUCAGGUAGGAAUACCCGCUGAACUUAAGCAUAUCAAUAAGCGGAGGA
This 352-nucleotide unclassified non-coding RNA is filed under the name soil metagenome. Its description in RNAcentral is "partial contains 5.8S ribosomal RNA, internal transcribed spacer 2, and large subunit ribosomal RNA". The stretch from base 1 to 120 matches the Rfam family "5.8S ribosomal RNA", at positions 35 to 154 of the family's 154-position model. The record is from RNAcentral.